This 468-nucleotide ribosomal RNA is filed under the name uncultured bacterium. RNAcentral's name for it is "partial 16S ribosomal RNA". It matches the Rfam family "Bacterial small subunit ribosomal RNA", at positions 28 to 507 of the family's 1533-position model. The record is from RNAcentral.
GACGAACGCUGGCGGCGUGCUUAACACAUGCAAGUCGAACGGCAAGGCACUGCUUUUGUGGGGUGCUCGAGUGGCGAACGGGUGAGUAACACGUGAGUAACCUGCCCUUGACUUUGGGAUAACUUCAGGAAACUGGGGCUAAUACCGGAUAGGAGCUCCUGCUGCAUGGUGGGGGUUGGAAAGUUUCGGCGGUUGGGGAUGGACUCGCGGCUUAUCAGCUUGUUGGUGGGGGAGUGGCUUACCCAGGCUUUGACGGGUAGCCGGCAUGAGAGGGUGACCGGCCACAUUGGGACUGAGAUACGGCCCAGACUCCUACGGGAGGCAGCAGUGGGGAAUAUUGCACAAUGGGCGGAAGCCUGAUGCAGCAACGCCGCGUGCGGGAUGACGGCCUUCGGGUUGUAAACCGCUUUCGCCUGUGACGAAGCGUGAGUGACGGUAAUGGGUAAAGAAGCACCGGCUAACUACGUG